GAUGAACGCUGGCGGCGUGCCUAAUACAUGCAAGUCGAGCGAACAGACGAGGAGCUUGCUCCUCUGACGUUAGCGGCGGACGGGUGAGUAACACGUGGAUAACCUACCUAUAAGACUGGGAUAACUUCGGGAAACCGGAGCUAAUACCGGAUAAUAUAUUGAACCGCAUGGUUCAAUAGUGAAAGACGGUUUUGCUGUCACUUAUAGAUGGAUCCGCGCCGCAUUAGCUAGUUGGUAAGGUAACGGCUUACCAAGGCAACGAUGCGUAGCCGACCUGAGAGGGUGAUCGGCCACACUGGAACUGAGCCACGGUCCAGACUCCUACGGGAGGCAGCAGUAGGGAAUCUUCCGCAAUGGGCGAAAGCCUGACGGAGCAACGCCGCGUGAGUGAUGAAGGUCUUCGGAUCGUAAAACUCUGUUAUUAGGGAAGAACAAAUGUGUAAGUAACUAUGCACGUCUUGACGGUACCUAAUCAGAAAGCCGCGGCUAACUACGUG
RNAcentral lists this ribosomal RNA (497 nucleotides) under uncultured bacterium. RNAcentral's name for it is "partial 16S ribosomal RNA". It matches the Rfam family "Bacterial small subunit ribosomal RNA", at positions 28 to 507 of the family's 1533-position model. The record is from RNAcentral.